Long non-coding RNA from Neopsephotus bourkii (Bourke's parrot), 321 nucleotides. RefSeq lists it as uncharacterized. The record is from RefSeq and is a predicted model, not a curated record. The transcript has 3 exons. Lineage: Eukaryota; Metazoa; Chordata; Aves; Psittaciformes; Psittacidae.
UCACCUCCUGUGCAUGACGUGCCGUGGUAUGGAAUAACCUCUUUGGUCAAUUUGGGUCAGGUGUCCUGUCUCUGCUUCCUCCCAGCUUCCCCUCCUCCCUGGCAGAGCAUGAGACUCAGAAAGUCCUUGGUCAGAAGUAAACAUGACUUAGUAACAACUAAAAACAUUGGUGUUAUCAGUGUUGUUCCUAGACUGAAAGUCAAAACCACAGUAGUGCACCAGCUACUAAGAAGGAGAAAAAUGACUGCUGCUGCUGAACCCAGGACAGUACCCACCCCUUAUUCCAUACCAUUCACAUCAUACUUAGAUCCCACAUUUUUC